GGAGAGUUGGCCGAGCCAGGUAAGGCACCAGGUUGCUACCCUGGAAUCAAGGUUACACUUGCACAGGUUCAAAUCCUGUACUCUCCGCCA
RNAcentral lists this transfer RNA (90 nucleotides) under marine sediment metagenome. RNAcentral's name for it is "tRNA-Ser". It matches the Rfam family "tRNA". From Rfam's summary of the family: Transfer RNA (tRNA) molecules are approximately 80 nucleotides in length. The record is from RNAcentral.